RNAcentral lists this microRNA (24 nucleotides) under Mus musculus (house mouse). RNAcentral describes it as "mmu-miR-669f-5p". Its record names the gene mmu-miR-669f-5p. Lineage: Eukaryota; Metazoa; Chordata; Mammalia; Rodentia; Muridae. The record is from miRBase by way of RNAcentral.
AGUUGUGUGUGCAUGUGCAUGUGU